RNAcentral lists this ribosomal RNA (30 nucleotides) under Sclerotinia sclerotiorum. RNAcentral describes it as "partial 18S ribosomal RNA". The record is from RNAcentral. Lineage: Eukaryota; Fungi; Ascomycota; Leotiomycetes; Helotiales; Sclerotiniaceae.
UAAUGAUCCUUCCGCAGGUUCACCUACGGA